This 1079-nucleotide long non-coding RNA is filed under the name Pongo abelii (Sumatran orangutan). RNAcentral's name for it is "lincRNA". The record is from RNAcentral. Lineage: Eukaryota; Metazoa; Chordata; Mammalia; Primates; Hominidae.
GAACUUACGGCAGCAACUGCAAUUAGGGGUAGUCCAGUGCCAAAUUGUCGCUGCCUUGAAAAUAUUCUGCUUCGUUAUUUCGGGCACUCCACAGAUUCUGUUGCGAAGGCAGCCAUCUUUAGUUCGUCUUUCCUAGAGAGUAGUGUGUGAGCUGCAAAGUUGCUUUACAUCUUUGCCAGCAGCUGAUAAGGGUGGGCCAUAAACCCAAUUUGUGUCCCUUGGGCUGGUGAUUCUGCUGGAAAUCCUGAUCAGCUACUUAGCUUUUCAGUCGCAACUUUGUUCAAACGGAAUUUGGCAGCUAUGAUUUAACUGAAGAUCAUGAGAUGGAAAGAUUAUUAUCUGUGUGCAUCUAAUAUAAUCACAAAGGACCUUAUAAUGUGAAAGAGGAAGAUAGGAGAGUCAGGAUCAGCGAUAAUGUGAAUACAGAAGCAGAGGUCACAAUGGUGUGAGAAGACACAUCUGGCUUUGAAAAUAGAGGGGCAAUGUGCCAAGGAAUGCAGGAAGCCUCUAAAAGCUGAAAAAAGCAAGUAGAUUCUUUCCUGCUGCCUCCAGAAGAAACAAACUCCUGCAGACACCUUGAUUUUUGCCCCAUAAUACCCUUUUUAACCUUUUGACUCAUAGAAAUAUAAGAUAAUAAAUGUGCUUUCUUGUAAGCCACUAAGUUUGUGGUAAGCAGUAAGGCAAAACCCAAUUUUUAAAUAAAUUAUGCUGUGUUUGUAGUAUUAAUACUAUGCACUAUACAAUUAUUUAAAAUAUUAAAUAUUUAUAUAUCUACAAGACAAAUUGCUAAUAGAAAGAAAGCAAAUUCUAAUUUACUUACAGGCAUGUGUACAAAUAUUUAAAUAUAUGAUUCAUUUAAAUACAUACGUAUUUUUAUAUACACACUGUAGUGCUAAUCAUAAUUGCUUUCAGAAAGCAUAUGUGUUGGCAUUUUCUGAAAAUUUUACACUGAGCACAUCAUAUGCAAUUGUAUGCGAUAAAAGAUAAGUAACAAAUAGUCAUGUGAUGACUUAUUACUAAUAAUAGUUUGAAAGAUCUACACUGAUUUUAUUUCAGAGUAGUACACAAUAGCAUACGAA